Molecule: ribosomal RNA, 775 nt
Filed under: uncultured Neocallimastigales
Lineage: Eukaryota; Fungi; Neocallimastigomycota; Neocallimastigomycetes; Neocallimastigales
Description: partial large subunit ribosomal RNA
Rfam family: Eukaryotic large subunit ribosomal RNA
Source: RNAcentral
GUACACGCUGUGACUAGCAUAUCAAUAAGCGGAGGAAAAGAAACUAACAAGGAUUCCCCUAGUAACGGCGAGUGAAGCGGGAAGAGCUCAAAUUUGAAAUCUUAAAGGGUUUCCCUUUACGAAUUGUAGUUUAAAGAAGUGUUUUCUGUUGAGGUUUUGGUAAAAGUUCUUUGGAAUAGGACAUCAUAGAGGGUGAGAAUCCCGUAUUUGACCUUUACUUUCAACUUUGUGAUACACUUUCAAAGAGUCGGAUUGUUUGGGAAUGCAGUCCAAAAUGGGUGGUAAAUUUCAUCUAAAGCUAAAUAUUGGCGAGAGACCGAUAGCGAACAAGUACCGUGAGGGAAAGAUGAAAAGAACUUUGAAAAGAGAGUUAAACAGUACGUGAAAUUGUCAAAAGGGAAGCGUUUGACACCAGUGUUGUUUUUCUGAAAAUCAAUUAAAGAACUGUUUAUGCUAAGUUGUUUAGACUUUAUCAGCUAUCUGUUUAGUUUUGAGCUUUUCUUUAACUGCACUUUUCAGUUAACAAGUCAACAUCAAUUUCUUUUGCUGUAAAAAAGCUUGAGGAAGGUGGCUUGAGAUUCGUCUUAAGUGUUUAUAGCCUCUUGCCUAUGCAGUCGGAGAGAUUGAGGUCUGCAGCGUAGAUCCUUCGGGGCUAAAUGCAUUUGUGCUAAGUUAUAGCAUUUCAUAGACAACUUGUUGACUAUGAUUUGUCUUGUAGCUUACUCGCUUAUGUUAUUUUACCUACGCUUAGGAUGUUGACAGCAGUAUAGACUGU